AAGCUACUCCCUCCGUCCGAAAAUACUUGUCAUAGGAAUGGAUGUAUCUAGAUGUAUUUUAAUUCUAGAAACAUCCAUUUUUAUUAAUUGUGCGACAAAUAAUACCGGACGGGGACAGUAUUUG
This is a non-coding RNA of Hordeum vulgare subsp. vulgare (domesticated barley), 124 nucleotides long. NCBI's taxonomy places the organism in Eukaryota, Viridiplantae, Streptophyta, Magnoliopsida, Poales, Poaceae. The record is from Rfam.